UACGUAGGGUGCGAGCGUUGUCCGGAAUUAUUGGGCGUAAAGAGCUUGUAGGCGGUCUGUCGCGUCUGCUGUGAAAAUCCGGGGCUCAACCCCGGACUUGCGGUGGGUACGGGCAGACUAGAGUGAUGUAGGGGAGACUGGAAUUCCUGGUGUAGCGGUGAAAUGCGCAGAUAUCAGGAGGAACACCGAUGGCGAAGGCAGGUCUCUGGGCAGUAACUGACGCUGAGGAGCGAAAGCAUGGGGAGCGAACAGG
This 253-nucleotide ribosomal RNA is filed under the name uncultured bacterium. RNAcentral describes it as "partial 16S ribosomal RNA". It matches the Rfam family "Bacterial small subunit ribosomal RNA", at positions 524 to 776 of the family's 1533-position model. The record is from RNAcentral.